Molecule: ribosomal RNA, 253 nt
Filed under: uncultured bacterium
Lineage: Bacteria
Description: partial 16S ribosomal RNA
Rfam family: Bacterial small subunit ribosomal RNA
Source: RNAcentral
UACGAGGGGGGCGAGCGUUAUCCGGAUUCACUGGGUUUAAAGGGUGCGUAGGUGGGUUGGUAAGUCAGUGGUGAAAUCUCCGGGCUUAACCUGGAAACUGCCAUUGAUACUAUCAAUCUUGAAUACCUUGGAGGUGAGCGGAAUAUGUCAUGUAGCGGUGAAAUGCUUAGAUAUGACAUAGAACACCAAUUGCGAAGGCAGCUCACUACACGGUCAUUGACACUGAGGCACGAAAGCGUGGGGAUCAAACAGG